GAACUGCCCCGCAGUAUCUAGCCAAGCUGAAGGCGAACAAGGCCAAUAACAUUGGCACUUCUUCAGGAGCCUGAAAAGUGGAGGAAGCUGAAACAAGGCGACAUGGAACUCAUCGUGGGUGAUGG
Molecule: long non-coding RNA, 125 nt
Organism: Helianthus annuus (common sunflower)
Lineage: Eukaryota; Viridiplantae; Streptophyta; Magnoliopsida; Asterales; Asteraceae
Exons: 2
Source: RefSeq, a predicted model, not a curated record